CCUACGGGGCGCAGCAGUGAGGAAUAUUGGUCAAUGGACGAGAGUCUGAACCAGCCAAGUAGCGUGAAGGAUGACUGCCCUAUGGGUUGUAAACUUCUUUUAUAUGGGAAUAAAAUGUUCCACGUGUGGGAUUUUGUAGGUACCAUAUGAAUAAGGAUCGGCUAACUCCGUGCCAGCAGCCGCGGUAAUACGGAGGAUCCGAGCGUUAUCCGGAUUUAUUGGGUUUAAAGGGAGCGUAGGUGGAUUGUUAAGUCAGUUGUGAAAGUUUGCGGCUCAACCGUAAAAUUGCAGUUGAAACUGGCAGUCUUGAGUACAGUAGAGGUGGGCGGAAUUCGUGGUGUAGCGGUGAAAUGCUGAGAUAUCACGAAGAACUCCGAUUGCGAAGGCAGUUCACUGGACUGCAACUGACACUGAGGCUCGAAAGUGUGGGUAUCAAACAGGAUUAGAUACCCGUGUAGUC
Molecule: ribosomal RNA, 460 nt
Filed under: uncultured bacterium
Lineage: Bacteria
Description: partial 16S ribosomal RNA
Rfam family: Bacterial small subunit ribosomal RNA
Source: RNAcentral